Molecule: ribosomal RNA, 316 nt
Filed under: uncultured bacterium
Lineage: Bacteria
Description: bacterial SSU rRNA
Rfam family: Bacterial small subunit ribosomal RNA
Source: RNAcentral
GAUGAACGCUAGCUACAGGCUUAACACAUGCAAGUCGAGGGGCAGCAUGGUCUUAGCUUGCUAAGGCCGAUGGCGACCGGCGCACGGGUGAGUAACGCGUAUCCAACCUGCCUUACACUCUUGGACAGCCUUCUGAAAGGGAGAUUAAUACAAGAUGUUAUCAUGAGUAAGCAUUUUCGCAUGAUUAAAGGUUUACCGGUGUAAGAUGGGGAUGCGUUCCAUUAGGCAGUUGGCGGGGUAACGGCCCACCAAACCGACGAUGGAUAGGGGUUCUGAGAGGAACGGUCCCCCACAUUGGUACUGAGACACGGACCAA